CCCUUAGACGUUCUGGGCCGCACGCGCGCUACACUGACGAAGGCAACGAGCUUUCCUUUACCGAAAGGUACGGGUAAUCUUUUGAAACUUCGUCGUGCUGGGGAUAGAUCCUUGCAAUUUUUGAUCUUAAACGAGGAAUUCCCAGUAAGCGCAAGUCAUCAACUUGCGUUGAUUACGUCCCUGCCCUUUGUACACACCGCCCGUCGCUACUACCGAUUGAAUGGUUUAGUGAGGCCUUCGGAUCCGCGACUCGUUUUGUGGAGAAGUUGGACAAACUCAGUCAUUUAGAGGAAGUAAAAGUCGUAACA
RNAcentral lists this ribosomal RNA (308 nucleotides) under uncultured eukaryote. RNAcentral describes it as "partial 18S ribosomal RNA". It matches the Rfam family "Eukaryotic small subunit ribosomal RNA", at positions 1470 to 1796 of the family's 1831-position model. The record is from RNAcentral.